UUACAAGUGAAUUUUCUUUUCUGUUUUAAAGCGUUUUAAAUAAACUUCCACUCCUGUGCUGAAACUUGCCUUGGUCUUUUUUUCUGCUUUAUGCCCCUCAGUCGAAUUCUUUCUUCUGAGGACGCAAGAAUUGAAGUUGCUGCAGACGCCUAUGGAUUCACCACCAGUAAAUCGGAGUAACCACUGGGAACAAUAGGUCGCCUUAGAAGCUUGGCAGGUUGUUUUUGUUUUUUGUUUUUGUUUUUUUGUUUUUGAUACGAGGUCUCACUUUGUCGCCCAGGCUGGAAUGCAGUGGUGCAAUCUCGGCUCUCUGCAGCCUCUGCCUCCCAGGCUCAAGUGAUCCUCCCACUUCAGCCUCCCGAGUACCUGGGACUGCAGGCAUGCACCACCACACCCGGCUAAUUUUUAUUUUUAUAUUGUAUUUUUGGUAGAGUUGGGGUUUCACCAUGUUCCCAGCUGGUCUUUAACUCUUGAGGUGAAGCAAUCCGCCCACCUCAGCCUCCCAAAGUGCUGAGAUUACAGACGUAAGCCAUCGUGCCUAGGCUUGCAAGUCGUUUUUUGCUGAACAGAAAAAGCUAUUAAAAAAUGUUCAGGACUCUUUUAUUUACACAGCAAGCUUACAAAGCCAUCUUUGAUUGACUGAUUCUUUGACAAUGACUAUAUGGAUGACACAGGAAGGAUGCCAUUCUGGCCUUGGAGAGAAAACUUGCAAGGAAAGGAACAUGUUUGAAUUUCAGAUGUGUUCCUCAAUGAAUCAUGAUCUUCAGGGAAUGUUUCAGGUGGAGGAAAGGCCUCUUGGUCAAUGAGCCUGAAGACUGCAUGGCAACCUUUGCCAGCUUUUGGCCUGAAAACUCAACUUGUUCAUUUGAGAUAAUUCCUGUUUUAUAUACUUUCAUUUGAGAUAUUCCUGGUGUAUCAAAUGAAACAAAAUCUAUGAAAUACUGGAUUCACAAAAAUACAUUUUGAAUAUUGAAUGUGGAAA
Molecule: long non-coding RNA, 982 nt
Organism: Piliocolobus tephrosceles (Ugandan red Colobus)
Lineage: Eukaryota; Metazoa; Chordata; Mammalia; Primates; Cercopithecidae
Exons: 2
Source: RefSeq, a predicted model, not a curated record